This 254-nucleotide long non-coding RNA is filed under the name Lathyrus oleraceus (garden pea). RNAcentral describes it as "Pisum sativum (pea) long non-coding RNA (PSAT_LNC028698)". The record is from RNAcentral. Lineage: Eukaryota; Viridiplantae; Streptophyta; Magnoliopsida; Fabales; Fabaceae.
AUCCAAUAUGACCAAACCUGAUUACAAACACAAAGACUAAUCAGCAAUUUCUUCUUGAGAAAUUAUGAAUAUACCCUAGUCUCUCAAGGAAUUACAACUCAAAGACUAAUCGUCAAUGACUUCUUAAUGCUUCUGACAAUACCCUAGUCCCUCAAGAAAAUACAACUUAAAAGUUGAGAAACAAAGUGUGUUACAAAGAUGCUUCUAUGAAAGCAGAUUAAAAAAAUGUAUAACAAAGUUUUACACACAAAAAU